UCCACGCUGUAAACGAUGGAUACUAGGUGUUGGCCCAUUUGGGGUCGGCGCCGCAGCUAACGCAUUAAGUAUCCCGCCUGGGGAGUACGACCGCAAGGUUGAAACUCAAAGGAAUUGACGGGGGCCCGCACAAGCGGUGGAGCAUGUGGUUUAAUUCGAUGCAACGCGAAGAACCUUACCUGGGCUUGAACCGCAGAUGAUAUCCCCUAAAAGGGGCUUUCCUUCGGGACAUC
RNAcentral lists this ribosomal RNA (233 nucleotides) under uncultured bacterium. Its description in RNAcentral is "partial 16S ribosomal RNA". It matches the Rfam family "Bacterial small subunit ribosomal RNA", at positions 794 to 1030 of the family's 1533-position model. The record is from RNAcentral.